UGUGUAGGCGGUUCUCCAAGUUUGGUGUGAAAUCUCCCGGCUUAACCGGGAGGGUGCGCCGAAAACUGGGGGACUAGAGUGCGGGAGGGGAGAGUGGAAUUCCUGGUGUAGCGGUGAAAUGCGUAGAUAUCAGGAGGAACACCGGUGGUGUAGACGGCUCUCUGGACCGUAACUGACGCUGAGACACGAAAGCGUGGGUAGCAAACAGGAUUAGAUACCCUGGUAGUCCACGCCCUAAACGAUGCAUAUUUGGUGUAGGUCAUUCAGUUGAUCUGUGCCGGAGCUAACGCGUUAAAUAUGCCGCCUGGGGAGUACAGUCGCAAGGCUGAA
Molecule: ribosomal RNA, 330 nt
Filed under: uncultured bacterium
Lineage: Bacteria
Description: bacterial SSU rRNA
Rfam family: Bacterial small subunit ribosomal RNA
Source: RNAcentral